Molecule: small nucleolar RNA, 139 nt
Filed under: Drosophila grimshawi
Lineage: Eukaryota; Metazoa; Arthropoda; Insecta; Diptera; Drosophilidae
Description: snoRNA:GH25788
Source: RNAcentral
ACCUUCUACCAGAUUUUUGUUGGAAAAUAUUUAUGCCAUUUCCAAUGAGCGACAAAUGCAAGGGAAAUUAAAUGAAUGUGGCAAUCAAAACGAGUGAUUUGUGCAAUUGCAAUUACUAUUUGAGGCUACAACGACACUU